AAUUCGAUUAGAGUUUGAUCCUGGCUCAGAUUGAACGCUGGCGGCAUGCCUUACACAUGCAAGUCGAACGGUAACAGGUCUUCGGAUGCUGACGAGUGGCGAACGGGUGUGUAAUACAUCGGAACGUGCCCGAUCGUGGGGGAUAACGAAGCGAAAGCUUUGCUAAUACCGCAUACGAUCUACGGAUGAAAGCAGGGGACCGCAAGGCCUUGCGCGAACGGAGCGGCCGAUGGCAGAUUAGGUAGUUGGUGGGAUAAAAGCUUACCAAGCCGACGAUCUGUAGCUGGUCUGAGAGGACGACCAGCCACACUGGGACUGAGACACGGCCCAGACUCCUACGGGAGGCAGCAGUGGGGAAUUUUGGACAAUGGGCGAAAGCCUGAUCCAGCCAUGCCGCGUGCAGGAUGAAGGCCUUCGGGUUGUAAACUGCUUUUGUACGGAACGAAAAGACUCUGGUUAAUACCUGGGGUCCAUGACGGUACCGUAAGAAUAAGCACCGGCUAACUACGUGCCAGCAGCCGCGGUAAUACGUAGGGUGCAAGCGUUAAUCGGAAUUACUGGGCGUAAAGCGUGCGCAGGCGGUUAUAUAAGACAGAUGUGAAAUCCCCGGGCUCAACCUGGGAACUGCAUUUGUGACUGUAUAGCUAGAGUACGGCAGAGGGGGAUGGAAUUCCGCGUGUAGCAGUGAAAUGCGUAGAUAUGCGGAGGAACACCGAUGGCGAAGGCAAUCCCCUGGGCCUG
RNAcentral lists this ribosomal RNA (741 nucleotides) under uncultured bacterium. Its description in RNAcentral is "bacterial SSU rRNA". It matches the Rfam family "Bacterial small subunit ribosomal RNA", at positions 1 to 737 of the family's 1533-position model. The record is from RNAcentral.